UGGAUACAUUAGCAUGGGAUAA
Molecule: non-coding RNA, 22 nt
Filed under: Arabidopsis thaliana (thale cress)
Lineage: Eukaryota; Viridiplantae; Streptophyta; Magnoliopsida; Brassicales; Brassicaceae
Source: RNAcentral